RNAcentral lists this ribosomal RNA (369 nucleotides) under uncultured organism. Its description in RNAcentral is "partial 16S ribosomal RNA". It matches the Rfam family "Bacterial small subunit ribosomal RNA", at positions 528 to 896 of the family's 1533-position model. The record is from RNAcentral.
GGGGGGGCAAGCGUUGUUCGGAAUUACUGGGCGUAAAGGGCGCGCAGGCGGCCUGGCCAGUCCUACGUGAAAUCCCACAGCUCAACUGUGGAACUGCGUGGGAUACUGCCAAGCUUGAGUCCGGGAGAGGAGAGUGGAAUUCCCAGUGUAGCGGUGAAAUGCGUAGAUAUUGGGAGGAACACCGGUGGCGAAGGCGGCUCUCUGGACCGGCACUGACGCUGAGGCGCGAAAGCUAGGGGGAGCAAACGGGAUUAGAUACCCCGGUAGUCCUAGCCCUAAACGAUGAGCACUUGGUGUGGCGGGUAUCGACCCCCUGCCGUGCCGAAGCUAACGCAUUAAGUGCUCCGCCUGGGAUACGGUGCAAGGCUG